CAGGUGAGGAAACAGGGACACACCUUCCCGGAGGAGGGGCAGGGCCCCUCCGCGCGCGAGCCCCAUUGGUGUGAAAGAAGCUCCCGCGUCAGAGCUGGGAAGUGCCGGGCCGGCGGAGAGGGGAGCCCGGGCGCACGGGCCAGGCCGCGGGCUGUCCCAGGGAGCCCCGAGGGCGCGGUGCGCGGGCGCAGGUCGGGCGCAGGCGGGGUGACCCGGGGAAGGGGCGCGCACAGAGACAGAGGGAGCCAGCCGGGCCCCACGGUGUCCUCGGACGCCUCCGAAAUCUCCCUGCGUGUUUGUUUCUUCGGAGCUUCACCGGAGCCUGACUCUGGAACCGGCCUGUCUGCCUGCUGCAGUCUGUCAUUCAACAUUUAUUCAACCAAAAAUACUAAGUCAGCUCUAUACAAACUAAUGGAAGGAUACAGCUAUGCAAAUAUAGAACACUAAAGUGUUACAUGACAGAUGUAUGAGCAGAACUGGGAAGAAAGGACCCUGAAAAGUUAGCUGGUUCCAAGUGACCCUCCAAGGGGAAGAGUGCUGGAUUCAGAGCCCACCUCAGGGGAAGACAGGACCCUCUCCAAGAUGGUUUCCCUAGAAGCUACUACCUCUCCCUGGAGGGUGGAGAUAUUUGCUGGUCAAAGCAAGAAGGCCCUCUGCAGAUGCUGACACCUUGAUAUUGGACUUCCCAGAUUCCAGAACUCUGAGAAAUAAAUUUCUAUUUUAAAUAAAUUACCCAGUCUGUGA
This 744-nucleotide long non-coding RNA is filed under the name Homo sapiens (human). RNAcentral describes it as "HSALNT0343908". The record is from RNAcentral. Lineage: Eukaryota; Metazoa; Chordata; Mammalia; Primates; Hominidae.